UCCACCUUGAUUCUUGUUUACUCUGUUCACAAUCACAGUGCAGUGCACAGUAUUAUUUAUCAUAGGCACAAAUGCAGGGAAUGACAUCAGUAACAAAGUAGGCCUAAGCUUGAUUCUUGGUUAAGUUGAAUGGUUGAAUCUACAGUUGAUGUUGCUGACUGGAGCUCAGGAGCACUGUCCAUUGAGAAAUCUUCGCCUGACUGCUACAAGUAGGGACCUGCAGAGUGAAAGACUCUUAUUACUGUACAUUACUGCUCUGUUUAUUUAUUGUCUCAGAGCUAGUUUAUUGUAUUAUUACCAUCUUUCCUUGUUUGUUAUUUUUGGCAUUAUUUUAUUUUUCAUUGCGUA
Long non-coding RNA from Halichondria panicea, 348 nucleotides. RefSeq lists it as uncharacterized. The record is from RefSeq and is a predicted model, not a curated record. Lineage: Eukaryota; Metazoa; Porifera; Demospongiae; Suberitida; Halichondriidae. The transcript has 2 exons.